RNAcentral lists this transfer RNA (67 nucleotides) under Onthophagus haematopus. RNAcentral describes it as "tRNA-Asp". Lineage: Eukaryota; Metazoa; Arthropoda; Insecta; Coleoptera; Scarabaeidae. The record is from RNAcentral.
AAAAAUUUAGUUAAAUUAAUAACCUUAGUUUGUCAAACUAAAAUCAUUCUCAAAAGAAUAAUUUUUA